GUUCUGUUGUUUUCCAUGUUAAAACAUUGUGCAAGGUUAAAAAAGAUAAAAUAAAAUUGAUAUUAAUGGUUUUUGGCAAUGAAGGUUCUGAAAUUCUAAUUAAAUUAAAAUUAGGAUAUGAAUAAUGCCAUUAAUACAUAUUAGAUGCAUUAAGAUUUGUCUCACUUCUCUUAUUCUUAAAAAUAAAUAACUGUUUUUAUUUAUAUCAUUGAGCAGGGGAAAAAAAGGAAAGUCGAAUUUACUUAUAUUUUAGCUUGAUAAUUAUUUAAGAAAUGGUCACUGAGAGAUGGUAUAUCAUCAUAUAGUGGGCAAUGUUUUUGCUUUAGGUAUUCUGAUUCCAUUUAUUUAGUGGCAUGAAAUUCUUUUGCAAGCAAUUUUGAUAGGAAUGAUCCCAAGUGAAUUGAGUUCCAUAUAAAUGAAACUGUGGAAUUGCAAAUGAAUUUCAUAAAAUAAGUGGAUUCAUUUGUUCCAAACACUAUCAAGUUGUAAACAUGCGUUUUGUGUGCUA
RNAcentral lists this unclassified non-coding RNA (508 nucleotides) under Hevea brasiliensis (rubber tree). The record is from RNAcentral. Lineage: Eukaryota; Viridiplantae; Streptophyta; Magnoliopsida; Malpighiales; Euphorbiaceae.